GAGUUUGAUCAUGGCUCAGAUUGAACGCUGGCGGCAUGCCUUACACAUGCAAGUCGAACGGCAGCAUGAUCUAGCUUGCUAGAUUGAUGGCGAGUGGCGAACGGGUGAGUAAUACAUCGGAACGUGCCCUGUAGUGGGGGAUAACUAGUCGAAAGAUUAGCUAAUACCGCAUACGACCUGAGGGUGAAAGUGGGGGACCGCAAGGCCUCAUGCUAUAGGGGCGGCCGAUGUCUGAUUAGCUAGUUGGUGAGGUAAAGGCUCACCAAGGCGACGAUCAGUAGCUGGUCUGAGAGGACGAUCAGCCACACUGGGACUGAGACACGGCCCAGACUCCUACGGGAGGCAGCAGUGGGGAAUUUUGGACAAUGGGGGCAACCCUGAUCCAGCAAUGCCGCGUGUGUGAAGAAGGCCUUCGGGUUGUAAAGCACUUUUGUCCGGAAAGAAAUCGCACUUACUAAUAUUAGGUGUGGAUGACGGUACCGGAAGAAUAAGGACCGGCUAACUACGUGCCAGCAGCCGCGGUAAUACGUAGGGUCCAAGCGUUAAUCGGAAUUACUGGGCGUAAAGCGUGCGCAGGCGGUUGUGCAAGACCGAUGUGAAAUCCCCGGGCUUAACCUGGGAAUUGCAUUGGUGACUGCACGGCUAGAGUGUGUCAGAGGGGGGUAGAAUUCCACGUGUAGCAGUGAAAUGCGUAGAGAUGUGGAGGAAUACCGAUGGCGAAGGCAGCCCCCUGGGAUAACACUGACGCUCAUGCACGAAAGCGUGGGGAGCAAACAGGAUUAGAUACCCUGGUAGUCCACGCCCUAAACGAUGUCAACUAGUUGUUGGGGAUUCAUUUCCUUAGUAACGUAGCUAACGCGUGAAGUUGACCGCCUGGGGAGUACGGUCGCAAGAUUAAAACUCAAAGGAAUUGACGGGGACCCGCACAAGCGGUGGAUGAUGUGGAUUAAUUCGAUGCAACGCGAAAAACCUUACCUACCCUUGACAUGCCACUAACGAAGCAGAGAUGCAUUAGGUGCUCGAAAGAGAAAGUGGACACAGGUGCUGCAUGGCUGUCGUCAGCUCGUGUCGUGAGAUGUUGGGUUAAGUCCCGCAACGAGCGCAACCCUUGUCUCUAGUUGCUACGAAAGGGCACUCUAGAGAGACUGCCGGUGACAAACCGGAGGAAGGUGGGGAUGACGUCAAGUCCUCAUGGCCCUUAUGGGUAGGGCUUCACACGUCAUACAAUGGUGCAUACAGAGGGUUGCCAAGCCGCGAGGUGGAGCUAAUCCCAGAAAAUGCAUCGUAGUCCGGAUCGUAGUCUGCAACUCGACUACGUGAAGCUGGAAUCGCUAGUAAUCGCGGAUCAGCAUGCCGCGGUGAAUACGU
RNAcentral lists this ribosomal RNA (1368 nucleotides) under unidentified marine bacterioplankton. Its description in RNAcentral is "bacterial SSU rRNA". It matches the Rfam family "Bacterial small subunit ribosomal RNA", at positions 9 to 1371 of the family's 1533-position model. The record is from RNAcentral.